AUGACUUGGACUCCACUGCUCCUUGUCUUCCUUCAUCACAUCACAGGUGAGAUCAUAUGGCAGUUCACGCUGACUCAACCAAAGUCCAUGUCAGGAUCUUUAAGAAGCACUAUCACCAUUUCCUGUAAGCGCAGCAGUGGUGACAUUGGAGAUAGCUAUGUGAGCUGGUACCAGCAACACUUGGGAAGACCUCCCACCAAUGUGAUCUAUGGUGAUGAUCAAAGACCAUCUGAAGUGUCUGAUCGGUUCUCUGGCUCCAUUGACAGCUCCUGUAACUCAGCCUCACUGACCAUCACUAAUCUGCAGAUGGAAGAUGAGGCCGACUACUUCUGUCAGUCUUACGAUAGUAAUCCUGUUAUUAAUCACAGUGAUGCACAUCACGGAGGAAGGUCAUGUGCCCAGGUUGUGCUUACUCAGCCAAACUCUGUGUCUACGUCUCUAGGAAGCACAGUCAAACUGUCUUGCAAGCGCAGCACUGGUAACAUUGGAAGCAGCUAUGUGCACUGGUACCAGCAGCAUGAGUGA
Rattus rattus (black rat) is the source of this 525-nucleotide non-coding RNA. Lineage: Eukaryota; Metazoa; Chordata; Mammalia; Rodentia; Muridae. The record is from the annotation of a RefSeq genome assembly.